RNAcentral lists this long non-coding RNA (3283 nucleotides) under Xyrichtys novacula (pearly razorfish). Lineage: Eukaryota; Metazoa; Chordata; Actinopteri; Labriformes; Labridae. The record is from RNAcentral.
ACACACACCACCUCACAUCUUCAUCCUCAGCAAUUAUGUGACUAAGUUGGUUGUCGGUAAAUGCAAACCGCAGAUUGAGUUUGUUUUGACAGUCAUCAGAAGAAUGCUAAUCUCUCAUUUCACACACCCCAACAAAAGCGUUAGACGCAUGGUUUUAUGAUAACACUUGGUUUCCCAUUACAGUUAGAUUAUGCUAUAACUGGGUUGUGAUCGGUGUGCCUCCAGUUGUACACUUGACAAAUUUAUUCAAAAUAUUGAGCCCUGCAAAGUCACAUCUUAGCACUGAUGCACAGCAAGUAGGCAGUUAAUGUGGUUUUGCUUUGCAUUACAACAGUGUGUACCUUGCUUUUGAAUCACUAUAAUCACAAUAUGAUGUCUAAUGGAUGUACCUUCAAAAAGGUGUUGACCAAAAUUAAAGGAGCAGGGUUGUCAGGACCACUACCUCACAGUGAGAGAGCAUCCUUAGUUCAUGUCCAGGCUGGAGUUUAAUCCAGCCUCUAAGUAAGUCUCACUCCAUAUUCAGCAUGUCAAAUUGGAUUGCAGACACAGUGGGUAUUUAUGUAAGUAUAUUAGGUGUACAAAAACAGAGAGUCCAGAGGAGACGGAAACCUUGAUGAGCGUUAAUGAUAAUUCUCUGUUGCCAUAUGGCCCAUAAGGGAGAAGCUGACAAUUAGAUUUCCUCUCGGCUUGGAUCUGCAGGAUGGAUAUUAUAGCAACACAUGGCCUGACAUCUCAAGACUUGCCAUUUUCUCCUAGUUGUUCUUCAAAAGACAAAAAAAAAAAAAAACCUGCAUGUGUGUAUCUGCAGAUUUGUCUCAGUGUAUUGUUUUCUAAUGAUCCAUCUUCCCUUAUUCUAGUGUCUCAGCUGGUCGUAUUCCGGCUCUUUGACAUAAAAUUCAUCCGGUUCAAAAUACUUUUUGUGCUGUUGUAAAAAAGUCUGCUUUAAUUCCACAAUAAAAGCAUUUCUGUAAAUAUCCUUUUAAUAAAACAUGGUGAUCUUUUUUUUUUAACCUCCUAAGACCUGGCGUCCACACGUGUGGACAUCACAUUUUUGGUUGUCAAGACCACAAUAUUAAAUUUUGUUCACAAGGGCCUUCUGUCAAAAUUUAAAACAAAUGUCCUCAUAUGUGGACAUCAUUUUCCUCAGAAACUACAUCAUGUAAAAAGAUCAUUCUUUGUUUUUACACUCAUCAGGUCCCAAUUAGCCUAAAUAUCAAAGAGAAAAUAAAAAUGCAUGCCUUGCAAGAGUUCGGGUCUUAGGAGGUUAAGUCUAAUUUUAUCACACAGCUGUCUUUUGCACCAGGUCAGUCUGUGGGUUCUGAGGGAGAAAUGCCACAUCCUGCAAAGCUACACUCUCAGAAUAUGCUAGUUUUGUGUCCAAUUCUGCCAUAUUGUCUUAAUUCCAAAUAUGACAUAUAGUGUGCACAUCACUACAAAACACUUAGCAUUUGUGUAUUCAGCUGACAUGGACAAAAUACACAUAUCUCUUUGAGAGGACAUGAGGAGAAUCAUAACAUCCUGUUGCAGACAUGCAGAUGCAUAAAGCACUAAUGACAAUGUACACAGACACACAAUAACACUGUUCGUUUUGACAUGAGGAGGUUGUUUUCACAUAUUCAAGUGUGAGUGACGUUCUGGAAAAACCCGAUGUGAAAGUGGUUAUAAAAACAUUCCAUCUCUCAGCGACAUGAAUCCUGAGGGCAUUUUUCAAUCUGGGACAGCGUGUGAAAAAAGUCAUUGACACAUGGAUGUAAUCUGUUAGAACUAAAAAAAACGGUCAGGGUUAAGUGGUGUACAUGAACUCUGGGUCUUCAAGAAAAAAACAUAAAAUGUCACAAUGCUGCCUAAAAUUCUGGUUCAACAAGAAGCUGUAUAAGAUAUAACCUCAACCAAAUUAUGUGGUUUUGACAUGAACGCGACCUAAAAUUUGUGUGGCGAUUUGCAUUUCAGAAAGUUCCUCAAUAUGUUGGGUUUAGCACCCUGAGACACCAUCUUUGCAUCCAUGUUAUUGCAGAACAAAUGCAAAGAAGGGUGUAGGCCUAAAAUGUCAAUGUUCGUAUCAUUUUGGCUCUUACAAUACUCCAAAAAUCUUACGACAUGUUACGGUUAAGCUUUGAGCAACGUGUUUGUGAAGGGGAGAUGGACUCCACUUCCCUGUCUGCACACGUCUCCCUUUCAACAUGACAAAUGAGCUCAUUCAGGAUAAAAGGUCUUUUAAUCUUCUAAGUAGCUCUACAGUUUUUCUCAUAUAUAUAAAUUUUUCUCUCACAGUAGCAGAGAGACAGAUUUAUGCGUCCUUAUCGUCUGUCACUGUUUUCAUGUGCUCAAUGUUAGCAGCAGUUCAGUGCCCCACUGACUUUAUAAAGUUGAUGAAAUCUGAAAGAGUUUUGGUUUCGAUUCUUUGGCAUUGAUUUUAUCGUGUGAAAAAACUGCCUUUGUGGCCUUAUCGUGGUGUGUGGCGGAGGGUAAUGAACUCAACUAUCAUUCUGAACCGUUUAAUGAUACUCAGUCAUGCUGUUUUUGUCAUUUUCCCAGGCGUUGCUGGUCACUCCUAUAAACACUUGAGCUAUUAGCUCUCAUUUUAUCUGCACACUUAUUAAUUUACAGUCUUGUGAUUUGUUGGUAUAAUUUUAAUUCUGCUAUCUGGUUCCUCAAACUUCCUUUAAACACUGAAUCACUGGAGACAAUGAUGAAUUUUUCAGCAGAGUACAAACAACGAAACUCUAUUUUAUAGCUCCAUAAAGUAACUUUGGAGUGACUACAAUGUGAACCGAGCUUAGAGGCUGCUAGGGGUUUUCAUGUUAAAAGAAAGUAAACAUUAAAUUUCAUCAAAUUUAUUUAAAUCUUAAUUUUUCAUUAAAACUCCAUUAACUUUAAUAUCAAUGUAGAUCUCAACCGCACUAUUACAGAACAAAUGGAUAACUUUCCAAGUCUAGAUUUGUCUAGAAUUAAUCAUUCACAACAAAAAAUAGGUAUAGACACUGACAGACGAGAGAAAAGAUAGUUGUCUCAGUACCUAAUACUCCCAACUUUUCUGAUGAAUGAUCAGACCAUGGAGACUGAUUCAUUGUGUGUGACUCACUGACCCUACAUCAGUUUUUUACAAUAUGCUCCCAUUGCCUCCCAUUAUGAGAUGUGAUGGCAAAACAUGGUGCUGACAUUUAGUGCUGGUGGAGUCAACACAUAGCCCUGAGGGGUUCUGGCUUGUGGAGCUGCGGGACUGAUGUUCUAGCCUUUCUGCUUACCAAAACAAUCAUUCUAUUUGUUGAUAAUUCAUCAACAA